Molecule: long non-coding RNA, 783 nt
Organism: Cyprinus carpio carpio
Lineage: Eukaryota; Metazoa; Chordata; Actinopteri; Cypriniformes; Cyprinidae
Source: Ensembl
UCUCAUUAACCAGCAGGAGUUAAAGAACCCAAAGCCACAUAUAUCGCUGCGAUAUAAAGUUUCGCAGGGCAGACAGAGGGACAGACAGAGGGGGAUAGAAGCCCUUUCACCGGGAACAUCUGGAACUUUCCAGCCUCUCCAGAUAGAGACACACACCAUUUUGAGGAUAUGAAAGCUGUCACAUCUUUUAUAUGGCGGCACUCUCAUUAAAGACUGGGAGGGCGUGCGCCACGGACUUACGAUCCACUCCCACACUCCUCUGACAGACGGAAGAUUCACACCAGGGACUGGCCAUUACAAGUUUUAACAUCUGAGUGGAGGGGAAUCGGGUGAAGCAACCGCAGGAAAACAGACAGCCCUCGUCUCGGACGACUAAAUACCUCCAUGCUGCCGUCCGAGAUGAAGCGGAACAGGAAGUGGUCACUCUAGAGGUGGGACGUUCAACCACAUGCCUGAGGAAAACAGAAAAAUGUGGAAUUUUACUACCUGUAGAAAUGGGCAGAAAGCAAAAUUUGGUUUUGAGAGCUAAUUCAAAGUUAGUUCAGUGUUCACAGGAUGGGCUUUUGCAUAGAUGGGGUGCAACAGAACUGAAAACAGGGUGCCAAGAUGCAAUUCGAAAAACCUGAACUGCUUUUUAAAAUGACAUAACAUGUAAAAGCUAAAAAAAAAAUAUAGGAGGAGAGGAAAAUUAACAAACAUACAGAGCUACAGCAACUAGCACCCUCCAACUAUUUUUAUUAUUUUUCUGAUUAUGAUUGUACUGUGGUUGGGCACAUAUACGUG